RNAcentral lists this ribosomal RNA (1490 nucleotides) under Weissella sp. THK-7.4. RNAcentral's name for it is "bacterial SSU rRNA". It matches the Rfam family "Bacterial small subunit ribosomal RNA". The record is from RNAcentral. Lineage: Bacteria; Bacillati; Bacillota; Bacilli; Lactobacillales; Lactobacillaceae.
UGCACAUGGCGGGUGCUAUAAUGCAGUCGAACGCAUUGUGGUUGAAAUGAUAUGAAGAACUUGUUCAGAUUUGAUUUUCAACAUUGCAAUGAGUGGCGAACGGGUGAGUAACACGUGGGAAACCUACCUCUUAGCAGGGGAUAACAUUUGGAAACAAAUGCUAAUACCGUAUAAUAAUUAAAACCGCAUGGUUUUAGUUUAAAAGAUGGUCUUGCUAUCACUAAGAGAUGGUCCCGCGGUGUAUUAGUUAGUUGGUGAGGGUAAUGACUCACCAAGACAAUGAUACAUAGCCGAGUUGAGAGACUGACCGGCCACAAUGGGACUGAGACACGGCCCAUACUCCUACGGGAGGCAGCAGUAGGGAAUCUUCCACAAUGGACGAAAGUCUGAUGGAGCAACGCCGCGUGUGUGAUGAAGGGUUUCGGCUCGUAAAACACUGUUGUAAGAGAAGAAUGACAUUGAGAGUAACUGUUCAAUGUGUGACGGUAUCUUACCAGAAAGGAACGGCUAAAUACGUGCCAGCAGCCGCGGUAAUACGUAUGUUUCAAGCGUUAUCCGGAUUUAUUGGGCGUAAAGCGAGCGCAGACGGUUAUUUAAGUCUGAAGUGAAAGCCCUCGGCUCAACCGAGGAAUUGCUUUGGAAACUGGAUAACUUGAGUGCAGUAGAGGAAAGUGGAACUCCAUGUGUAGCGGUGAAAUGCGUAGAUAUAUGGAAGAACACCAGUGGCGAAGGCGGCUUUCUGGACUGUAACUGACGUUGAGGCUCGAAAGUGUGGGUAGCAAACAGGAUUAGAUACCCUGGUAGUCCACACUGUAAACGAUGAGUGCUAGUUGUUCGAGGGUUUCCGCCCUUGAGUGACGAAGCUAACGCAUUAAGCACUCCGCCUGGGGAGUACGACCGCAAGGUUGAAACUCAAAGGAAUUGACGGGGACCCGCACAAGCGGUGGAGCAUGUGGUUUAAUUCGAAGCAACGCGAAGAACCUUACCAGGUCUUGACAUCCUUUGACCACUCCAGAGAUGGAGCUUUCCCUUCGGGGACAAAGUGACAGGUGGUGCAUGGUUGUCGUCAGCUCGUGUCGUGAGAUGUUGGGUUAAGUCCCGCAACGAGCGCAACCCUUAUUGUUAGUUGCCAGCAUUUAGUUGGGCACUCUAGCAAGACUGCCGGUGACAAACCGGAGGAAGGCGGGGAUGACGUCAAAUCAUCAUGCCCCUUAUGACCUGGGCUACACACGUGCUACAAUGGCAAGUACAACGAGUCGCCAACCCGCGAGGGUGCGCAAAUCUCUUAAAGCUUGUCUCAGUUCGGACUGUAGGCUGCAACUCGCCUACACGAAGUCGGAAUCGCUAGUAAUCGCGGAUCAGCACGCCGCGGUGAAUACGUUCCCGGGUCUUGUACACACCGCCCGUCACACCAUGAGAGUUUGUAACACCCAAAGUCGGUGAGGUAACCUUUUAUUAGGAGCCAGCCGCCUAAUGGUGACAGAGUAUGC